This 72-nucleotide transfer RNA is filed under the name Ovis aries (sheep). It matches the Rfam family "tRNA". From Rfam's summary of the family: Transfer RNA (tRNA) molecules are approximately 80 nucleotides in length. Their secondary structure includes four short double-helical elements and three loops (D, anti-codon, and T loops). Further hydrogen bonds mediate the characteristic L-shaped molecular structure. tRNAs have two regions of fundamental functional importance: the anti-codon, which is responsible for specific mRNA codon recognition, and the 3' end, to which the tRNAs corresponding amino acid is attached (by aminoacyl-tRNA synthetases). tRNAs cope with the degeneracy of the genetic code in two manners: having more than one tRNA (with a specific anti-codon) for a particular amino acid; and 'wobble' base-pairing, i.e. permitting non-standard base-pairing at the 3rd anti-codon position. The record is from Rfam by way of RNAcentral. Lineage: Eukaryota; Metazoa; Chordata; Mammalia; Artiodactyla; Bovidae.
UCCCUUGUGGCUCAGAUGGUAAAGAAUCUGCCUGCAAUGCAGGAGACUCAGGUUCAAAUCCUGGGUCGGGAA